RNAcentral lists this transfer RNA (82 nucleotides) under Oryctolagus cuniculus (rabbit). It matches the Rfam family "tRNA". Rfam says of the family: Transfer RNA (tRNA) molecules are approximately 80 nucleotides in length. Their secondary structure includes four short double-helical elements and three loops (D, anti-codon, and T loops). Lineage: Eukaryota; Metazoa; Chordata; Mammalia; Lagomorpha; Leporidae. The record is from Rfam by way of RNAcentral.
GGUGUGGUGGCGUAGUGGGUAAAGCUCCUGCCUGUGACGCUGGCAUCCCACAUGGGCUCUGGUUCAAGUCCAGGAUGCUCCA